This 211-nucleotide unclassified non-coding RNA is filed under the name soil metagenome. RNAcentral describes it as "partial contains 5.8S ribosomal RNA, internal transcribed spacer 2, and large subunit ribosomal RNA". The record is from RNAcentral.
AACGCACGAGACCUGCGGACCUGCGGAGGGAUCAUUAAAAAAGGGUCGUAAGACCUAUUUUUAAAACCUACCCACCGCCUCUCAUCUAUGGAUGAAAGAUAUUCUUGUCUAUAGAUAAGAUGUAGGAGGUAUGGCUUUUUAAAAUCCAAUUAUAAAAUAUAUCGUCUAAUGACGAAAUAAAAAAUUUAAAAACUUUCAGCAAUGGAUCUCU